Olea europaea var. sylvestris is the source of this 3593-nucleotide long non-coding RNA. RefSeq lists it as uncharacterized. Lineage: Eukaryota; Viridiplantae; Streptophyta; Magnoliopsida; Lamiales; Oleaceae. The transcript is spliced from 2 exons. The record is from RefSeq and is a predicted model, not a curated record.
AUCUAGGAAUAGAAUAAUGGGAUUUCUUUUCUUGCAAUCAAUUUCAUCGUUAUUACGUGUUUUGUGUUUCGAACACUGAACUCAAUAGGAUGUAGAUACUCCCAACUUUAUGCCAACAUAACAUCGUUUCGUCAAUAUAUAUAAUAAAUAUCUUUCGUUCACGGACGGGUACUCUUUCCUGAAUGCAAGGUGUUCAGAAUUUGGCCACUACCCCAACAUGACAUGUUUCCAAGCACCAAAUCAAAAAACUUUCGUAUCUCUGAUACAUGAAGACACAUUGGCAUAAAACUAAUUGAAUAAAAAAAUCCAUCAUUUUAAUGCUUGUAAAUUCGCUGCUAUAAACCAAGGUUCUUAACACAACCUUGGGGUUUCACUAUGAAUUUGCUCAAUUAUGUUAGGAACCACAACCUUGGGGUUUCACCAUGAAUUUGACCUUGGGGUUUCACUAUGAAUUUGCUCGAUUAUAUUAGGAACCACAACCUUGGGGUUUCACCAUGAAUUUGCUCGAUUAUGUUAGGAACCUUGGUUUAUAGCAACGAAUUUACAAGUAUUAAAAUGAUGGAUUUUUUUAUUCAAUUAGUUUUAUGUCAAUGUGUCUUCAUGUAUCAGAGAUACGAAAGCUUUUUGAUUUGGUGCUUGAAAACAUGCCAUGUUGGGGCAGUAGCCAAAUUCUGAACUCCUUGAAUUCAAGAAAGAGUACCCGUCCGUAGGCGAAAGAUAUUUACUGUAUGUAUUGACGAAACGAUGUUAUGUUGGCAUAAAGUCGGGAGUAUCUACAUUCUAUUAAGUUUAGUGUUCGAAACACAAAACACGUGAUAACGAUGAGAUUGAUUGCAUGAAAAGAAAUCCCAUUAUUCUAGUCCUAGAUUUCGAGGUUCAGAUACACACUCUUAAUUUAUUAUUUUCUUUUUUUAUUUUUAGCUAUGUUUUAUAAGUUUUUAAAGUUUCUAUAAUUAAUUGGAAUUUUUAUAUUUGAAAAUUAGAUAAAUGAAUCUAACAAGUGAUGUUUUUCUUUUUAAUAUAAUAAUUUAUAUAAAUAUAAUUAAUAAUUUCUUUGAUUAAUUCGUAUCUUGUUGAUCAUAAAUAGUUUUAUGCUUUUAUUAAAGGUUAUUUAAGCAAGAUUGAUAAUUUUCUACAGUUAUUUCCAUGGGAGAAUCUGUUGACAUUGAAAAAUAAAAAGAUUUAUUGCAUGCUAUCUGUUGGAAGUAUUUUUGCAAUAAUUCACACGCAUUGCCAAGACCAAGCGUAGUGUUCGACAAAUUUUGUACCCUUUUCAUCGAUAAAUCCUCGCAACCUAUAUUAUUUAAUAAAUCUGAACAAUAAUUUUGUUGGAAAUGGACAGGUUAAAUUUGGGAAAUGGUUGCAAGGUAAUCUUAUUCUUUAUUUCUCAUAAAAACAAAGAUUUGUGAAAUUGGAUUGAAGUUUCUUUGGCUUUUUCUGUGUAGGGAGCUAUAAUAUUUUCCCCUCAAAUAAUGAGCUGAUUGUAGUCUUAAAAAGCCAUGACCUCUAUUUUUACUCGGGUCAUGGAAACAGUAUGCAACUAGCUUAUGUGCUUAAAAGUUAAUUCUUGUAAAUGUGAGUUAGAGAAAAGCAAGAUUUGUUAGUUAAAAAAAAGUUUGAAAAUCAAAUUUCACAAAUAAGUAAAGCAUAGCCAAGCAUGUAUAUGUGUAUAUAUAUUUUUUUAAUUUUGUAUUUUCAGAGAAUCGUUAAACUCGAUUUCAUUUUUUACCUUGACAAUCAGGGUUGAACAUUGACCUUGAGUAAAAGAUUCAAGAACUCAAUGGUUGUACUGCCGCUGUAGUACUAUUGGGAUGAGAAAGUAGUAAAAUAAAACUAAACAGGCUUUACGUCCUGGAAGAUGCUCCUAUUUUGUAUUUAUCGGCGAGUUCUCCUAACAUGGUGGCUAAUCUAUGGAGUGUAAGCAAUGAUGUUGAUAAAUUUGGUAUGUCCUUAUGUGUGAGUUGAUUUCAAAGGACAGCAAAUGAUUAUACCAAAUAGGGGCUAAACAUAUAUAUACAACCAUCUAAUUGGUUUCCAAUCGUAUUUGACUAAAUAUGAUUCUACCAAAUAGGGGUUGUUCUAUCGAUAUUUUCACGGACAUGUGUACCUUGGUUCCUCAAAGUUAUGAUAAGUUUAUCAUCACAGGUGCGAUUUAUUUUGGGCACUGGAAUGUUGUUGAACAAGUGCUUGCAUAUAGCUGCCUUUCAAGUUUAUAUGUUUGUGACAUAUAGUUUCCUUUGCAGACCAAUGAACUCUAUCAGUUGGCUUCAGUUGCAUUUUGCCUGCUUAUAGCUUGGGUUUGUUUCUUUACAAUGUCUUAUAUCUGGAUUUACUUCACUUUUGCCAUUGGUUUAUUAUGUCAUUCCAUGUGCGCUACAUUAGUGAGACAAUCAUUAUUCACUUUCUGCUUUCUAGUGAUUUUUCAUAUUUGCAUUAGUAAAAGGCCGAAUGCUAGGUUUGAAUAAUUCCCUAUAUCUUGUUUCUGAUAGCUCAGCGUCUCAAUUCCUCCGCCGUCUUUGUAUGGCCCUCAUAUAGUGAACUGUGAUGCAGUCUGAUUGUUCGUGUAAUUUCAGUGUUGUGACAAGCUCGGUUUGAGUAUAGAAUUGGGUUCAUUUGCUGCUGGAGUGAUGAUAUCAACAACUGAUCUUGCUCAACAUACGCUUGAACAAGUUGAACCUAUUCGCAACUUUUUUGCUGCUCUUUUCCUGGCUAGCAUUGGGAUGCUCAUCCAUGUUCAUUUUCUCUGGAAUCACGUUGAUAUCUUACUUGCAUCGGUUAUACUGGUGGUGUGGUUAAAACCAUAGUAAUUUCUGCAGUUGUCGAGGGGUUUGGCUACAACAACAAAACUUCACUUCUCGUAAGAUGGCUACCAUGUUGUUUAAUAUAGUACUUCUAUAUAUCAUCUUUAGAUGGAUUACAUUAACAAGGCUCUAUGGUCCUUGAGCAAUAUAGUCGGAUUGUCUUUGGCUCAAAUAGGGGAAUUUGCAUUUGUACUGCUCAAUCGUGCUUCUAAUCUUCAUCUUGUUUAGGAAACGCUCUGUGGACAGGAUUCCCAUGGGGUUAUUUUAUGGAGUGGUCAGGGUAGAAAGAAAAGUGACUUCUAUAGUUCUGUCUUAAGUUUUCAUGGCUUAUUUAUUUUCUUCAUAAACCCUCUAGCUAGCCAGCAUUUUGAGGUUUAUGAUACUCCAAAAUUUUAAUUGAAAGCAGUGCUUGUGGGGAUUCUGUUACACAUCUCUAACAUAGAAAAAGACUGUCUUAUGAGCCAGAAAAAAAUUGAAUACUCGCUAGAAGGUAAUCUAACUGCUAGAGACACUAAUCGCCAGAAGCUUAACCUUUGGUUGAGGUAAUUACCCUAUUUCCUCUGGGAUUAGAUUUUUGUUUUCUUUCCCUUCAAUGUAAAAUAGUUUUCAGCUUGUAAUUUGUUCAGACUGUUAUUCUUUUUCCACUAGUUUCAUUUUAUUUAUAUUGUCAACUUGUAGAUUUCAACAUGUAUCAAGUUACAUUUUCUUAAAUGCGAAAAAAAAGUGAUGUAUAAACUGCAAGUCUUAAAGAUGAGGGGAAAUAAGACUAUAUGAAGUGGGUGUUAUCUUCCA